Molecule: unclassified non-coding RNA, 226 nt
Filed under: Hevea brasiliensis (rubber tree)
Lineage: Eukaryota; Viridiplantae; Streptophyta; Magnoliopsida; Malpighiales; Euphorbiaceae
Source: RNAcentral
GGCCUUGCAUGAGGCGGCACGAAACGAAAGAAGUCGGGACAUUGUGAAAGCAAUAAUGCGUAAUGAAGAUCCAACAAAGUUUACAUAUUCUGCCAAUAAUAAUGGGGAAACUCCGCUUUACCUAGCUGUUAAAAAUAGAAAUAUGGAGAUAGCUUUUGAACUAUUAAAUCAUCCCGAUUCACAAUUACUGGCUUAUGGUGGUCCCAAUGGUAAAACGGCAUUACAU